UCUUUCCUCCCGAGUGCUUGCACUCAAUUGGAAAGAGGAGUGGCGGACGGGUGAGUAACACGUGGGUAACCUACCCAUCAGAGGGGGAUAACACUUGGAAACAGGUGCUAAUACCGCAUAACAGUUUAUGCCGCAUGGCAUAAGAGUGAAAGGCGCUUUCGGGUGUCGCUGAUGGAUGGACCCGCGGUGCAUUAGCUAGUUGGUGAGGUAACGGCUCACCAAGGCCACGAUGCAUAGCCGACCUGAGAGGGUGAUCGGCCACACUGGGACUGAGACACGGCCCAGACUCCUACGGGAGGCAGCAGUAGGGAAUCUUCGGCAAUGGACGAAAGUCUGACCGAGCAACGCCGCGUGAGUGAAGAAGGUUUUCGGAUCGUAAAACUCUGUUGUUAGAGAAGAACAAGGACGUUAGUAACUGAACGUCCCCUGACGGUAUCUAACCAGAAAGCCACGGCUAACUACGUGCCAGCAGCCGCGGUAAUACGUAGGUGGCAAGCGUUGUCCGGAUUUAUUGGGCGUAAAGCGAGCGCAGGCGGUUUCUUAAGUCUGAUGUGAAAGCCCCCGGCUCAACCGGGGAGGGUCAUUGGAAACUGGGAGACUUGAGUGCAGA
This 610-nucleotide ribosomal RNA is filed under the name Enterococcus faecalis. Its description in RNAcentral is "bacterial SSU rRNA". It matches the Rfam family "Bacterial small subunit ribosomal RNA", at positions 62 to 652 of the family's 1533-position model. Lineage: Bacteria; Bacillati; Bacillota; Bacilli; Lactobacillales; Enterococcaceae. The record is from RNAcentral.